GCGUGAGACAGAUAAUUCCAGGUGCAGGUGCAAAUGACACUGCAAGACUAGAAGAUCUAAGCCUUAUGAGGCUGAGCAAGUGUAACCACAAUGUCUCAAUGGGGCUGUUUGGCUCUGGCCUAAAGUAAGGAUUGCACAGACAUGGUGCAGGGAAUUUAAACCU
This 163-nucleotide long non-coding RNA is filed under the name Phasianus colchicus (ring-necked pheasant). RNAcentral describes it as "lncRNA (ENSPCLG00000004079.1)". The record is from RNAcentral. Lineage: Eukaryota; Metazoa; Chordata; Aves; Galliformes; Phasianidae.